This is a long non-coding RNA of Oncorhynchus tshawytscha (Chinook salmon), 2171 nucleotides long. The record is from Ensembl. NCBI's taxonomy places the organism in Eukaryota, Metazoa, Chordata, Actinopteri, Salmoniformes, Salmonidae.
CUCCACUCUUUUGGGAAGUUUUUCCACUAGAUGUUGGAACAUUGCUGCGGGGACUUGCUUCCAUUCAGCCACAAGAGUAUUAGUGAGGUCGGUCACUGAUGUUGAGGGUGAUUAGGCCUGGCUCGCAGUCGGCGUUCCAAUUCAUCACAAAGAUGUUUUUUGGGGUUGAGGUCAGGGCUCUGUGCAGGCCAGUCAAGUUCUUCCACACCGAUCUUGACUAACCAUUUCUGUAUGGACCUCACUUUAUGCACGGGGGCAUUGUCAUGCUGAAACAGGAAAUGACCUUCCUCAAACUGUUGCCACAAAGUUGGGGGCACAGAAUCGUCUAGAAUGUAAUUGUGUACUGUAGCAUUAAGAUUUCUUUUCACUGGAAGUAAGGGGCCUGAACCAUGAAAAACAGCCCCAGACCAUUAUUCCUCCUCCACCAAACUUUACAGUUGGCACUAUGCGUUCUCCUGGCAUUCUCCAAACCCAGAUUCGUCCGUGGGAUUGCCAGAUGGUGGAGCGUGAUUCAUCACUUCAGAGAACGCGUUUCCACUGCUCCAGAGUCCAAUGGCGGCGAGCUUUACACUACUCCAGCCGACGCUUGGCAUUGCGCAUGGUGAUCUUAGGCUUGUAUGCGGCUGCUCUGCCAUGAAAACCUAUUUCAUGAAGGUCCCGACUAACAGUUACUGUGCUGACGUUGCUUCCAGAAGCAGUUUGGAACUCGUACUGAGUGUUGCGACUGAGGACAGACGACUGUUACGAGCUACGAACUACAGCACUCGACAAUCCCGUUCUGUGAGCUUGUGUGGCCUACCACUUUGCGGCUAAGCCGUUGUUUCCCCUAGACUUGUUCACUUCACAAUAACAGCACUUACAGCACUUGUUAGUGAUGAUUCUGCUAUCAGAGAUGAUCUCCCAUUGGUUGUUGGUGAUCUAGCUGCUAUCAGAGAUGAUCUCCCAUUGGUUGUUGGUGAUCGAGCUGCUAUCAGAGAUGAUCUCCCAUUGGUUGUUGGCGAUCGAGCUGCUAUCAGAGAUGAUCUCCCAUUGGUUGUUGGCGAUCUAGCUGCUGUCAGAGAUGAUCUCCCAUUGGUUGUUGGCGAUCUAGCUGCUAUCAGAGAUGAUCUCCCAUUGGUUGUUGGCGAUCUAGCUGCUGUCAGAGGUGAUCUCCCAUUGGUUGUUGGCGAACGAGCUGCUAUCAGACCUGAUAUCUUCCCCCAUGGUGGUCUGUGGCCAUGUUCUCAACAUUUCAGGCGUCUCAAAUGGCACCCUAUUCCCGAUGUUAUAGUGCACUACUUUUGACCAGGGUCCAUUGGGUAGGGAACUAUAUGGGGGUGCCAUUUGGGAUGUUGCCCACGGCUGCCUCAUACUGUUGUUUUGAUCACUCCCCUCCUGCUGAUACAGGAUUGUAUUCAUUAGGUAUCAAACGGAAGACGACUUGGACUUGUCCAAUAAUAACCGACUGGUUUUGUUUUCAGUUGAAAAAUGUCCUCAAUCAUCGCCUGAUCUCAAUGUUUGUACAUAGAAUAAGUGAUUGUAGGGCCUUUUAAACACAUCUACAAUGAUGAUCUGUCUCUCUCUGAGGAUGGGUGAGGAUUUCAACCAUAAUGAUGACCUGUCUCUCUGAGGAUUUCAACCAUAAUGAUGACCCGUCUCUCUGGGGAUGGGUGUGGAUUUCAACCAUAAUGAUGACCCGUCUCUCUGAGGAUUUCAACCAUAAUGAUGACCCGUCUCUCUGAGGAUGGGUGAGGAUUUCAACCAUGGUAAAAAAAAAAUGCACACUACUCUUGACCUUCUGAGGUCAUACACCUCAGCAAGAACCUCUGCUGUCACUCCGUAUCUAAUUCUGCAGUCCUGAACUUAGAGGAGUUCCCUUUCUGAUCACAAAACAAUCGCUAGGUGAUGUUAUGAAGGAAGUGGUGCUUCGAUGUUUAAAGGGUUUCCGUCAUAUGUUCUAUUUUUAUUUAUAUAUAUUUUUUUUUUCUUCCCGAAAAUGUUGUAAAUGAAAUGUUGUAUCCAGGUUAUAUUCAACUAGAAGACAUUAUCUGAAAUGUGUGGAAUGUAGAAGUUUACUACCAUUAAUGUCGGCCUAAGCCAAGUUGGCUUCUUUUCUGUCAUCUAUAUUUUUUUAUUAUUAUUCACUUUUGAUACUGUGAAAACCUUUUCAUUCAGAAAGAUUAAAACAUCGC